UGGGGAAUUUUGGACAAUGGGCGAAAGCCUGAUCCAGCAAUGCCGCGUGUGUGAAGAAGGCCUUCGGGUUGUAAAGCACUUUUGUCCGGAAAGAAAUCCCUGGCUCUAAUACAGUCGGGGGAUACGGUACCGGAAGAAUAAGCACCGGCUAACUACGUGCCAGCAGCCGCGGUAAUACGUAGGGUGCAAGCGUUAAUCGGAAUUACUGGGCGUAAAGCGUGCGCAGGCGGUUUGCUAAGACCGAUGUGAAAUCCCCGGGCUCAACCUGGGAACUGCAUUGGUGACUGGCAGGCUAGAGUAUGGCAGAGGGGGGUAGAAUUCCACGUGUAGCAGUGAAAUGCGUAGAGAUGUGGAGGAAUACCGAUGGCGAAGGCGACGCCCCCUGGGCCAAUACUGACGCUCAUGCACG
Molecule: ribosomal RNA, 409 nt
Filed under: uncultured bacterium
Lineage: Bacteria
Description: partial 16S ribosomal RNA
Rfam family: Bacterial small subunit ribosomal RNA
Source: RNAcentral